This is a long non-coding RNA of Helianthus annuus (common sunflower), 230 nucleotides long. RefSeq lists it as uncharacterized. Lineage: Eukaryota; Viridiplantae; Streptophyta; Magnoliopsida; Asterales; Asteraceae. The transcript has 3 exons. The record is from RefSeq and is a predicted model, not a curated record.
UUUUAUAUGUGUCAACUAAGGUGAUUAAUUGUAUAUUCAUAACAAAGAUUGCCCAGGUUCACAUCGCAACUUCAGUGUGUCUUAAGGAAAUCACAAAGUUGUACAAAGACUUUACCCAUAACGCAUCAGUUAUUUCUAUUUUCAUGAUAUCAUUUGAUCAUACGGCAUCAGAAUUGGCCACCAUUUACAAGUUUACUCCCCACCACAACCAAAGCAAGGUGGCCACCAAC